This 293-nucleotide ribosomal RNA is filed under the name Bacillus subtilis. Its description in RNAcentral is "partial 16S ribosomal RNA". It matches the Rfam family "Bacterial small subunit ribosomal RNA", at positions 50 to 331 of the family's 1533-position model. Lineage: Bacteria; Bacillati; Bacillota; Bacilli; Caryophanales; Bacillaceae. The record is from RNAcentral.
GCUAUACAUGCAAGUCGAGCGGACAGAAGGGAGCUUGCUCCCGGAUGUUAGCGGCGGACGGGUGAGUAACACGUGGGUAACCUGCCUGUAAGACUGGGAUAACUCCGGGAAACCGGAGCUAAUACCGGAUAGUUCCUUGAACCGCAUGGUUCAAGGAUGAAAGACGGUUUCGGCUGUCACUUACAGAUGGACCCGCGGCGCAUUAGCUAGUUGGUGGGGUAAUGGCUCACCGAGGGGACGAUGCGUAGGCGACCUGAGAGGGUGAUCGGCCACACUGGUACUGAGACACGGCC